Molecule: ribosomal RNA, 531 nt
Filed under: Alternaria alternata
Lineage: Eukaryota; Fungi; Ascomycota; Dothideomycetes; Pleosporales; Pleosporaceae
Description: eukaryotic LSU rRNA
Rfam family: 5.8S ribosomal RNA (bases 165-318)
Source: RNAcentral
ACAAAUAUGAAGGCGGGCUGGAACCUCUCGGGGUUACAGCCUUGCUGAAUUAUUCACCCUUGUCUUUUGCGUACUUCUUGUUUCCUUGGUGGGUUCGCCCACCACUAGGACAAACAUAAACCUUUUGUAAUUGCAAUCAGCGUCAGUAACAAAUUAAUAAUUACAACUUUCAACAACGGAUCUCUUGGUUCUGGCAUCGAUGAAGAACGCAGCGAAAUGCGAUAAGUAGUGUGAAUUGCAGAAUUCAGUGAAUCAUCGAAUCUUUGAACGCACAUUGCGCCCUUUGGUAUUCCAAAGGGCAUGCCUGUUCGAGCGUCAUUUGUACCCUCAAGCUUUGCUUGGUGUUGGGCGUCUUGUCUCUAGCUUUGCUGGAGACUCGCCUUAAAGUAAUUGGCAGCCGGCCUACUGGUUUCGGAGCGCAGCACAAGUCGCACUCUCUAUCAGCAAAGGUCUAGCAUCCAUUAAGCCUUUUUUCAACUUUUGACCUCGGAUCAGGUAGGGAUACCCGCUGAACUUAAGCAUAUCAAUAGG